GCCGGAAUAGCUCAGUUGGUAGAGCAGAGGACUGAAAAUCCUCGUGUCACCAGUUCCA
Molecule: transfer RNA, 58 nt
Filed under: Ptychostomum cellulare
Lineage: Eukaryota; Viridiplantae; Streptophyta; Bryopsida; Bryales; Bryaceae
Description: Plagiobryoides cellularis partial tRNA-Phe
Rfam family: tRNA
About the family: Transfer RNA (tRNA) molecules are approximately 80 nucleotides in length. Their secondary structure includes four short double-helical elements and three loops (D, anti-codon, and T loops).
Source: RNAcentral